UGAGGAAUAUUGGUCAAUGGGCGCAAGCCUGAACCAGCCAUCCCGCGUGCAGGAAGACGGCGCUAUGCGUUGUAAACUGCUUUUCCAGGGGGAGAAACUUGCGCACGUGUUGCGCAAUUGACGGUACCCUGGGAAUAAGCAUCGGCUAACUCCGUGCCAGCAGCCGCGGUAAUACGGAGGUUGCGAGCGUUAUCCGGAUUCAUUAGGUUUAAAGGGUGCGUAGGCGGACUAUUAAGUCAGUGGUGAAAUCCUGCAGCUUAACUGCAGAACUGCCAUUGAUACUGAUAGCCUUGAGUUUGGUUAAGGUAGGCGGAAUGUGUAAUGUAGCGGUGAAAUGCUUAGAUAUUACACAGAACACCAAUUGCGUAGGCAGCUUACUGAGCCGACACUGACGCUGAGGCACGAAAGCGUGGGGAUCGAACAG
RNAcentral lists this ribosomal RNA (424 nucleotides) under uncultured bacterium. RNAcentral's name for it is "bacterial SSU rRNA". It matches the Rfam family "Bacterial small subunit ribosomal RNA", at positions 355 to 775 of the family's 1533-position model. The record is from RNAcentral.